This 71-nucleotide transfer RNA is filed under the name Marmota monax (woodchuck). Its description in RNAcentral is "tRNA.Ala". The record is from RNAcentral. Lineage: Eukaryota; Metazoa; Chordata; Mammalia; Rodentia; Sciuridae.
GAGGUUGUGGCUCAGUGGCAGAGCACUUGCCUAGCAUGUGUGAGGCACUCAGUUUGAUCCUCAGCACCACA